RNAcentral lists this ribosomal RNA (253 nucleotides) under uncultured Lactobacillus sp. RNAcentral's name for it is "partial 16S ribosomal RNA". It matches the Rfam family "Bacterial small subunit ribosomal RNA", at positions 114 to 354 of the family's 1533-position model. The record is from RNAcentral. Lineage: Bacteria; Bacillati; Bacillota; Bacilli; Lactobacillales; Lactobacillaceae.
CACGUGGGGAACCGUCGCCCCACUAGUCUGGGAUACCACUUGGAAACAGGUGCUAAUACCGGAUAAGAAAGCGGAUCGCAUGAUCAGCUUUUAAAAGGCGGCGUAAGCUGUCGCUAUGGGAUGGCCCCGCGGUGCAUUAGCUAGUUGGUAAGGUAAAGGCUUACCAAGGCGAUGAUGCAUANCCGAGUUGAGAGACUGAUCGGCCACAUUGGGACUGAGACACGGGCCCAAACUCCUACGGGAGGCAGCAGAA